UAUGGCUUUUUAUUCCUAUGUGAUUAUACUACUCCUUUCAUAUAGGGAUUGAAGCCGUGCA
Molecule: microRNA precursor, 61 nt
Filed under: Alligator mississippiensis (American alligator)
Lineage: Eukaryota; Metazoa; Chordata; Crocodylia; Alligatoridae
Description: Ami-Mir-135-P1_pre stem-loop
Rfam family: mir-135 microRNA precursor family
About the family: The hairpin precursors (represented here) are predicted based on base pairing and cross-species conservation -- their extents are not known. In this case the mature sequence is excised from the 5' arm of the hairpin.
Source: RNAcentral